Molecule: long non-coding RNA, 261 nt
Filed under: Linum usitatissimum (flax)
Lineage: Eukaryota; Viridiplantae; Streptophyta; Magnoliopsida; Malpighiales; Linaceae
Description: long non-coding RNA (LUSI_LNC000727)
Source: RNAcentral
AAUUCUGGAGAUUCCAUUCGGUUCUCAACUUGAAUAGACCGUUCUCGGUAACUUCAUCUCCCUACUGAAUCUCAAGAGAAUUAGAUUUCUGCUCCUACUCCUUAUUACCUCGAUAUCGUUGUUCGUUUCUUAGCUGGCAUGAAAUAUGGCGUAGGUAACUUAUUCAAUGAAUUACUUCAGGUGCAUCUCAAUCUAGCUAAUCAGAGAGAUAGAGCAUUAGGGACAUUUGAAGUGUGGCUUUCGCAGAGUAGCCCAUUGGGC